GAUGAACGCUGGCGGCGUGCCUAAUACAUGCAAGUAGAACGCUGAAGGAGGAGCUUGCUCUUCUGGAUGAGUUGCGAACGGGUGAGUAACGCGUAGGUAACCUGCCUGGUAGCGGGGGAUAACUAUUGGAAACGAUAGCUAAUACCGCAUGACAACAGUUAUUGCAUGAUAACUGUUUAAAAGGGGCAACUGCUCCACUACCAGAUGGACCUGCGUUGUAUUAGCUAGUUGGUGAGGUAACGGCUCACCAAGGCGACGAUACAUAGCCGACCUGAGAGGGGGAUAGGCCACACUGGGACGGAGACACGGCCCAGACUCCUACGGGAGGCAGCAGUAGGGAAUCUUCGGCAAUGGACGGAAGUCUGACCGAGCAACGCCGAGUGAGUGAAGAAGGUUUUCGGAUCGUAAAGCUCUGUUGUAAGAGAAGAACGAGUGUGAGAGUGGAAAGUUCACACUGUGACGGUAUCUUACCAGAAAGGGACGGCUAACUACGUG
This 495-nucleotide ribosomal RNA is filed under the name uncultured bacterium. RNAcentral's name for it is "partial 16S ribosomal RNA". It matches the Rfam family "Bacterial small subunit ribosomal RNA", at positions 28 to 507 of the family's 1533-position model. The record is from RNAcentral.